RNAcentral lists this long non-coding RNA (569 nucleotides) under Heterocephalus glaber (naked mole-rat). Its description in RNAcentral is "lncRNA (ENSHGLG00100051865.1)". The record is from RNAcentral. Lineage: Eukaryota; Metazoa; Chordata; Mammalia; Rodentia; Bathyergidae.
AUUUAAUAUCGCGUGUGAUUAAAUUAUGAGGUGUGGGGGAGGGGAGCGCUGCACUCCCGGCCAACCGGGCGGAUGCCGCCAGCCGGCGGGUCUGGGCUGAGCGCACGGAGCCGGCUAGCUCGCUGUGCACUGCGCCUGGCGAGGCUUGAGCCGCGGUCCGCGCCUUCCCGAGGAUUCCAGGCCGAGGGGCUGUCACCGCGCUCUCCUCCGACGGACGCUAAUCAAGCGGAGGUGGAGAAAAAACCCAGCCAGGGGAUGUGCACCCGGGACCCCGCGCUUUUCGAUUUGCAGAAGAGCGCAGCGACAGCGCCCUCGACUCCAGGCGCCAACUCCGAGCUCGCGAGAUCACCAAGGCCCGGAUCCGCCUGCAAGCCAGUUUUAUUUGCCUCCAUCCGUCCCUUCUCCACGUAGUAUUCUUCCCCCGCCUCCCCCAGGUGUGCAGCCAAACCAACAAAUUCCUCCGCCCUCUGUUCCCCUCCCGCCUUCUCUCCUGCGCCAUGGGGUUAUAUCCUCCACGGACAUCCCUGCAAACUUGGAGAUUCAAUUAAAUAAUUCCAGUUACACGGUGC